This 549-nucleotide ribosomal RNA is filed under the name uncultured Glomeromycotina. Its description in RNAcentral is "SSU rRNA". It matches the Rfam family "Eukaryotic small subunit ribosomal RNA", at positions 548 to 1098 of the family's 1831-position model. Lineage: Eukaryota; Fungi; Glomeromycota. The record is from RNAcentral.
UUGGAGGGCAAGUCUGGUGCCAGCAGCCGCGGUAAUUCCAGCUCCAAUAGCGUAUAUUAAAGUUGUUGCAGUUAAAAAGCUCGUAGUUGAAUUUCGGGAUCAAUUUAUUGGUCGUGCCAACGGUACGCACUGGUACAAUUGGUUUCUCCCUUCUGACGAAGCAUGAUGUCAUUAAUUUGAUGUCGUGGGGAAUCAGGACUGUUACCUUGAAAAAAUUAGAGUGUUUAAAGCAGGCUUUGGCUUGAAUACAUUAGCAUGGAAUAAUGAAAUAGGACGUUUGAUCUUAUUUCGUUGGUUUCUAAGAUCGACGUAAUGAUUAAUAGGGAUAGUUGGGGGCAUUAGUAUUCAAUUGUCAGAGGUUAAAUUCUUGGAUUUAUUGAAGACUAACUACUGCGAAAGCAUUUGCCAAGGAUGUUUUCAUUAAUCAAGAACGAAAGUUAGGGGAUCGAAGACGAUCAGAUACCGUCGUAGUCUUAACCAUAAACUAUGCCGACUAGGGAUCGGAUGAUGUUAAUUUUUUAAUGACUCAUUCGGCGCCUUACGGGAAAC